Molecule: ribosomal RNA, 239 nt
Filed under: uncultured Lactobacillus sp.
Lineage: Bacteria; Bacillati; Bacillota; Bacilli; Lactobacillales; Lactobacillaceae
Description: partial 16S ribosomal RNA
Rfam family: Bacterial small subunit ribosomal RNA
Source: RNAcentral
UAACCUGCCCAAGAGAUCGGGAUAACACCUGGAAACAGAUGCUAAUACCGGAUAACAACAGAUGAUGCCUAUCAACUGUUUAAAAGAUGGUUCUGCUAUCACUCUUGGAUGGACCUGCGGUGCAUUAGCUAGUUGGUAGGGUAACGGCCUACCAAGGCGAUGAUGCAUAGCCGAGUUGAGAGACUGAUCGGCCACAUUGGGACUGAGACACGGCCAAACUCCUACGGGAGGCAGCAGCC